Molecule: long non-coding RNA, 855 nt
Filed under: Marmota monax (woodchuck)
Lineage: Eukaryota; Metazoa; Chordata; Mammalia; Rodentia; Sciuridae
Source: RNAcentral
UGACAAUGUCAGGUCCUCAUCAGGCUCUCCAGCUCGAGUGCAUCCUUGUUUCAGCUGGUUAAAUCCCUGUUCACUUACUCUAUUAUUUAUCCUAAAUUUUAGGGUUUUUUUGACCUUCAGUCCUUAUAAGCUAAUACUUGAUUUGUCAGUAAUAUCAUUUACCUUGGGGUCAGAAACUUCUGGUCUGGUGGUCUCCACCUUGAUCUUCUCUUCUUUUCAUCUUAUCAAGUGAUGGCAGCCUGCCAGGGGCUUUACUCUCUUUAUCAGGGUGAGGGGAAAUAACUCUUUUGUGGCCAUACUGGAGCAUUCUGUGGGUGUGCCUGGUGAAACUUCAGAUUUCAAACUGGAGUUUUUAAAAUGGAUUUGUUUAGGCUCAUGCCUAAGGCCAUCCUAACACAGGCACAUGUUCUUAUGGAAAGUUAAUCAGCUUUGCCUCAGAAUUGAAACUUUGGAGCCUAUGGAUAAAACGGCUCUGAAACUCAAAUGAUGAAUCUGAUGCCAAUAUUGAUCUGAUGCCAAUAUAGAGUCCCCUAGGUUUAAUCCCAGGUAUGCUCCCCCCACAAAUAAGAAUAUAUUUAAGACAAUAUGAUUAAUGUCAUUAUACAUACGGAGUUCUUAAAAUCAUUCUUUUUGAAAUCAGAUAAAAGAACAAUAAUAAAGAUAUUCAUUAGUACUACUUCCAUUCAUUGGAGUAAACCUUCAACUUGGGAGAUUGAGGCAGGGAGAUCACAUAAGAGACCAGCAUCAGCAAUUUAGGGUUACACUCAGCAUUUUAGUAAGAACUUCCCUUUAAAAAAAAAAGUGGGCUGGAGUUGAUGGUGUAGUAAAGUGCCUCUGACCAAAAAUAAAUAAAUA